Molecule: long non-coding RNA, 1107 nt
Organism: Lathyrus oleraceus (garden pea)
Lineage: Eukaryota; Viridiplantae; Streptophyta; Magnoliopsida; Fabales; Fabaceae
Exons: 2
Source: RefSeq, a predicted model, not a curated record
GCGUGUGUGGGCCUAAAGUCUCCAAGGUCCGAUGCCAAACCACAAGAAAUACUCAGUGAUGGUCACGCACAAUGAUUCCCAACGCACACAUGAAUUUCUCGAUCCAGAUCGACAUUCCUCCCAAAUUUAAGAUGUGAACGCACACCGAAAAUGCUUCAACAAAGAUUUCACAAAGAAAUUGAAUCACAAACCGACUUGGUGUCAUCGUCCCCAAAGAGAAAUUCAACUCAAACUGCAAAUCUUGAACUCCACCAGAAUCAUGUCAAAAUCCAACUGAAUCUGAAUUCGACAGCCGCAUUUGCAAACACAAUUUCACGCCUCCAAUCGAACUCCAAAACUGCUUUCUGUGAACGAAUCUCCAAUAUCGCCUCGUAUUUCGAUUCACCGUUGCUCAAAUUCGAUGCUCCACUUUCGAUUCGAGUUUGAAAAUAUGAAUUGACGGAAAAAGCGCGAAGGAUUCAAGUAAAUCGACGCGACAUACCUAUGGAAAUGGUGUCGACUUUACCUACCCGUACGGAUGCGCACGAGAGAGAGAGAGAGGAGGCUCGAGAGUGCAGCUGGAAGGUCUUGAGAGAUGGUAGCAAUCGGAACCGUAGCGGCAUUCCAGCACAGUGCCGGAUUUGGAAGGCCUAUGUGCAUCGUCUUGGCUUAUGCAGUUUGUAGUUUUUGUUUGGAUUUAUGUAGCUUGUGUUUCCGCUUGCCGUUUUGAUGCCGUAUGUAUGCCGUUUACAGCUCUCACUGUGUUUCGCUCAUUUGUUGUGCAUUUUGCUGCUUUGAUGGUGUGCUUAUGCUGCCGUUGGCGUUUGGCUUGUUACACGGAGCUUUGCCGUCGGUAGCUCGUUGUGGCCUACACUGCGUCUGUAGCUACUUUCCAUUUUCUGUACUUCACUUUUUGGUUAAGCUUCUUUUCGCUGAAGCUUUGGCUUGGUGCAUGCAAAUUGUGCUGCAAUUCUCUUAGCUACAUGAAGUAUGCUUGUUCUUGUCUUAUUUGAAUGUGGGUUAUGGAGUGGAUGUGGGUUAACAUGGAUUUAAAUGGUUUAAUUGGAUUGGUUACAAAAUGGAUAAUGGAUUUAAUGAAAAUGGAUAUGGAUAUUUGUUAGAGGUAAA